Molecule: ribosomal RNA, 468 nt
Filed under: uncultured bacterium
Lineage: Bacteria
Description: partial 16S ribosomal RNA
Rfam family: Bacterial small subunit ribosomal RNA
Source: RNAcentral
GACGAAUGCUGGCGGCGUGCUUAACACAUGCAAGUCGAACGGAAAGGCCCUGCUUUUGUGGGGUGCUCGAGUGGCGAACGGGUGAGUAACACGUGAGUAACCUGCCCUUGACUUUGGGAUAACUUCAGGAAACUGGGGCUAAUACCGGAUAGGAGCUCCUGCUGCAUGGUGGGGGUUGGAAAGUUUCGGCGGUUGGGGAUGGACUCGCGGCUGAUCAGCUUGUUGGUGGGGUAGUGGCUUACCAAGGCCUUGACGGGUAGCCGGCCUGAGAGGGUGACCGGCCACAUUGGGACUGAGAUACGGACCAGACUCCUACGGGAGGCAGCAGUGGGGAAUAUUGCACAAUGGGCGGAAGCCUGAUGCAGCAACGCCGCGUGCGGGAUGACGGCCUUCGGGUUGUAAACCGCUUUCGCCUGUGACGAAGCGUGAGUGACGGUAAUGGGUAAAGAAGCACCGGCUAACUACGUG